UUAAUUGAAACCAAAAAAGAGGUAAAUUAUUGUUAAUAAUUUAAUUGAAUAAAAGAAUAUUCCAAUUAAG
This 70-nucleotide transfer RNA is filed under the name Syrista parreyssii. RNAcentral's name for it is "tRNA-Asn". The record is from RNAcentral. Lineage: Eukaryota; Metazoa; Arthropoda; Insecta; Hymenoptera; Cephidae.